AUUGCACAAUAAUUACACAUUUUAUUAUGUUACCGUGUCCGGCAGAUAUUAUCGAUUUAUUUCCACGAUUAAUUCAUAAAACAUGUAGAACCGUCGUCAUACUAUUUGUCUGCGCGGACAUUCCAUACACCCACGUAAUAAUUUUUGAUUUAGUCACUUAUAUCACGUCCGUAUGGUACGUUGAAGUUAAAUCAUAGUUACUCACGCUGAUAUACGCGGCCCCGUAUUUAGCAAUGGCGAACAUUGAGGUACUCCGAUGACGCCGGAAUACAAUAACUCCGAUUUCGUCGCAGUGUUGUUCCCCGUGAAUCAGUCCCUUUC
This is a non-coding RNA of Cinara cedri, 321 nucleotides long. The record is from the annotation of a GenBank genome assembly. Lineage: Eukaryota; Metazoa; Arthropoda; Insecta; Hemiptera; Aphididae.